UACGGAGGGUGCGAGCGCUGUCCGGAAUCACUGGGCGUAAAGGGCGCGUAGGCGGCUUGAUAAGCGUGCGGUGAAAGCCCGGGGCUCAACCCCGGGUCGGCCGUGCGAACUGUCGAGCUGGAGCACUGUAGAGGCAGGUGGAAUUCCGGGUGUAGCGGUGGAAUGCGUAGAGAUCCGGAAGAACACCGGUGGCGAAGGCGGCCUGCUGGGCAGUGGCUGACGCUGAGGCGCGACAGCGUGGGGAGCAAACAGG
RNAcentral lists this ribosomal RNA (253 nucleotides) under uncultured bacterium. Its description in RNAcentral is "partial 16S ribosomal RNA". It matches the Rfam family "Bacterial small subunit ribosomal RNA", at positions 524 to 776 of the family's 1533-position model. The record is from RNAcentral.